This is a non-coding RNA of Arachis ipaensis, 700 nucleotides long. The record is from RefSeq and is a predicted model, not a curated record. Lineage: Eukaryota; Viridiplantae; Streptophyta; Magnoliopsida; Fabales; Fabaceae.
GUGUCCGUUAAGUGUCACAGUGGAAUUAUUCUGAAUGGGGAGGACAAAUUAGUCCUUCUGUAUUGUUUGGAUUUAAAAUUCUUCGAAACCCUAAUUUUUCAAAAUUCCCAAUUAUUCACUCUGAAACCAAACCCUAGCACAAUGCAUAAUGAAUAGCAUCGGAAGCUCCAGAAGCACGAGGAGCCAAAGAAUGGAAAGGAAUGAAGGCAACGGUGGCAAUUGUAGGGGUGACUCAACACAUGGAAGAGGCUCCAACAAUAAAAUCGCGCCAAAGUGUAACUGUCAGCUAUAUGCAACAAUAUAUAAGUCUGGAACAGUAGAGAAUCCAGAUAGAUUGUUUUUAGGAUGCCCAAACUAUAGGGACAAUUUGCCAUACUGCAAAUUCUUUAGAUGGUUGGAUGAUGUUGCUAGAGAUGUCGAAGUUCAAAGUUCUAAGUAGGGAGUGGAGGAUAGAUUAAUUGAUUUGGAGGAGAGAAUUCUGAGACUGGAAAUGGAUUGUAGAAAUAAAGAAAAUUCGAGCAAAAUUACUGGCAGUAGAUAUAGAAAUGUUCUGUAUUUUAUGGCUGAUUUCUAAGUUGCAAUAAUUGUGAAUGUGUGGAGUAAAGGUUCUGGGUGAUUCAAGUGAGAUAGUUGAAGCAUGAAUGUAGUAGUAUUUAUAAUUGUAUUAUUACGAAUGCGAUAAUGAAUAGUUAUUUUUGAA